This is a long non-coding RNA of Hemibagrus wyckioides, 737 nucleotides long. RefSeq lists it as uncharacterized. The record is from RefSeq and is a predicted model, not a curated record. NCBI's taxonomy places the organism in Eukaryota, Metazoa, Chordata, Actinopteri, Siluriformes, Bagridae. The transcript has 3 exons.
CCUUUUUCAUGUGGGAUCAUGUUCCAGCACCCUGGUGGAAUGAAACAUGUUGCACGGUGGUUGAGGGAGUUAUAUAGUUCUAUUUCUCUGUCAUUACUGGAACUGCCUUCAUCAGCACCUCCCUGUGAGUCCAGGUUAUGGCUCAGUCCAUCUACUGCUUCCGUUACACUUGAGCGCUUCAGAGCCUCUCCUAACACCACAUUACCGGCCAGACAUACUCCAUCUCCCCAGUCCCAGCAUGCACUGCACCAGGGCCACAGGUCCAGCUCCAGUGAUCCUCGGUGUGAGAGCAUUAAGGAGAGACUGAAGAAGAUCCCACAUCCCUGCAUGCCGACUGGUGCUGGGAAAUCCUCUCUCCUCUACUGACCUCCAAGCAUUCUGAGCUCAGCUGAAAUGGCCAAAUGGUGUGCUGGGCUGCUGGCAGACUGGGCAGUGGAGAGGAUUGUCGGAGCAUGUCUCAUACCUCUCUUUGUGCACUGCACCCCAGGGCAGAAGAGUCAACCUGGCCUUGACACUCUGUGAUGCUAAUCCUCUCAUAUCCCCCAAUGAGGGCAAGGAUGAAGGGAAAGAUGACGUGUGGACAGAGAGAGAUGGAGGAGAGCGAGAGCAUACGGUUGGAUAAUGACUUCACAACAUUGAGGACAUCAAGAGCCAUGUCUGUUCAUUAAAAUAAAGAAAGCAAAGCAUGAACAUAUUGUAAAAUAUUGCUAUUUUCUGUUUAAUGCACAUUUGGUGUG